Molecule: long non-coding RNA, 794 nt
Organism: Physella acuta
Lineage: Eukaryota; Metazoa; Mollusca; Gastropoda; Physidae
Source: RefSeq, a predicted model, not a curated record
UAAUUUAAGAAUAAAGCUAUUAACCUUUUUCACAGUCGAAACACGCUUUUGCCAGUUAUUGAUCUGAGCCAAGCGAUAGGGUAUUCCCUGAACGGAGAACUCAAGGAGGGAACGUGAUGGCUAAAAAUAGACAUGACGUCACAGAGUAAUCGUACUCUCGGGACCAGAAUCCAAGAAAUGGAUUUCUUUUAUACAAACUUGGAUUGGUUUCAAAAUUUCAAGUAAAAUUUUUAAAAAUCGGCCAUCUAUACAUAUUUCUGUGUGUUCACUUCAGCUGUGAGUACUAAAAGGAUUUUUUUCUAAAGUGGUUUGUUGUGUAUCAUACCUAAAAGGACCGGAGUAAUUUCUUUUGUGGUGGAUUAUAAUUAGGCGGCAACUCGGAAGUGUCCGGUCUCAGUACUUAAAAAAAUCACGUGCGUGACGUCAUUGACCGGACUGACCCCACGUCUGUCACAUAAACUCUGCCGGCAGCGCCUGUAUUCGCACCCUACGGAUAUUGGCAAAUUCAAUUAGCGAUACUGUGUGUGCUUCCCUGUAAUCGGAUUGCAUUCUUGUGUAAUCGAUUUUUUGUUGUAUCGCGACUUGGUGUAUCAUGGCCUCAGUCGGUGAACAGUCAGCUAUGCCUUUAGAGGAGGAUGAUAUCCGCGGGGACAUCAAAAGGAAAAAGUUUAACCCAAUCUCGGCGGUGAGAAAUUUUUUCCGUACCAAGAAAAAGAAAGAGGAUUCAGUGGUGACAGUCAAGGCCCAAUCAACGUCCACGUUACAUUCCGGGCUAGAUGAGGAUGACGACGAUG